RNAcentral lists this ribosomal RNA (503 nucleotides) under uncultured Actinomycetes bacterium. Its description in RNAcentral is "bacterial SSU rRNA". It matches the Rfam family "Bacterial small subunit ribosomal RNA", at positions 388 to 897 of the family's 1533-position model. Lineage: Bacteria; Bacillati; Actinomycetota; Actinomycetes. The record is from RNAcentral.
GCAGCAACGCCGCGUGCGGGAUGACGGCCUUCGGGUUGUAAACCGCUUUUAGUAGGGAAGAAGGGCUUCGGCUUGACGGUACCUGCAGAAAAAGGACCGGCUAACUACGUGCCAGCAGCCGCGGUAAGUACGUAGGGUCCGAGCGUUGUCCGGAAUUAUUGGCGUAAAGAGCUCGUAGGCGGUUUGUCGCGUCUGCUGUGAAAACUAGAGGCUCAACCUCUAGCCUGCAAUGGGUACGGGCAGACUUGAGUGGUGUAGGGGAGACUGGAAUUCCUGGUGUAGCGGUGGAAUGCGCAGAUAUCAGGAGGAACACCGAUGGCGAAGGCAGGUCUCUGGGCACUUACUGACGCUGAGGAGCGAAAGCGUGGGGAGCGAACAGGAUUAGAUACCCUGGUAGUCCACGCCGUAAACGUUGGGCGCUAGAUGUGGGGACCUUUCCACGGUUUCCGUGUCGUAGCUAACGCAUUAAGCGCCCCGCCUGGGGAGUACGGCCGCAAGGCUAA